This 253-nucleotide ribosomal RNA is filed under the name uncultured bacterium. RNAcentral's name for it is "partial 16S ribosomal RNA". It matches the Rfam family "Bacterial small subunit ribosomal RNA", at positions 524 to 776 of the family's 1533-position model. The record is from RNAcentral.
UACAGAGGUCUCAAGCGUUGUUCGGAUUCAUUGGGCGUAAAGAGCGUGUAGGCGGCCAGGUAGGUCGGUUGUGAAAACUGGAGGCUUAACCUUCAGACGUCGACCGAAACCAUCUGGCUAGAGUCCGGAAGAGGAGAGUGGAAUUCCUGGUGUAGCGGUGAAAUGCGCAGAUAUCAGGAAGAACACCCGUGGCGAAGGCGGCUCUCUGGGACGGUACUGACGCUGAGACGCGAAAGCGUGGGGAGCGAACAGG